This 17-nucleotide small RNA is filed under the name Arabidopsis thaliana (thale cress). RNAcentral describes it as "ATSL005040". The record is from RNAcentral. Lineage: Eukaryota; Viridiplantae; Streptophyta; Magnoliopsida; Brassicales; Brassicaceae.
AGUAGUUCACCAUCUUU